RNAcentral lists this ribosomal RNA (403 nucleotides) under uncultured bacterium. Its description in RNAcentral is "bacterial SSU rRNA". It matches the Rfam family "Bacterial small subunit ribosomal RNA", at positions 355 to 775 of the family's 1533-position model. The record is from RNAcentral.
UAGGGAAUAUUAGUAAUGGGCGAAAGCCUGAACUAGCAACGCCGCGUGUGCGAAGAAGGCCUUCGGGUUGUAAAGCACUUUUUGAGAGGAUGAGGAAGGACGGUACUCUCAGAAUAAGUCUCGGCUAACUACGUGCCAGCAGCCGCGGUAACACGUAGGAGGCAAACGUUAUCGGGAUUUACUGGGCGUAAAGCGCGUGUAGGUGGUUUGGUAAGUAGGGCGUGAAAGCUCCUGGCUCAACUGGGAGAGGCCGUUCUAAACUGCCGAACUAGAGGAUGGUAGAGGGGGGUGGAAUUCCGGGUGUAGCGGUGGAAUGCGCAGAUAUCCGGAGGAACACCAGUGGCGAAAGCGGCCUCCUGGACCAUUCCUGACACUCAGACGCGAAAGCUAGGGUAGCAAACGG